Molecule: long non-coding RNA, 122 nt
Organism: Etheostoma cragini (Arkansas darter)
Lineage: Eukaryota; Metazoa; Chordata; Actinopteri; Perciformes; Percidae
Exons: 4
Source: RefSeq, a predicted model, not a curated record
AUGUUUGACUUCUGCUUAAGUAACUUGUUAACGGUUUCAUCCAGAGCUGAAAAUGCAACUGUAUUUCACAGAGGACAGAUGUAGGUUGCUAGUGACAAAAUAUUAGCUUUCAAUGCUUACAU